UUAAUUGAAACCAAAAUUAGAGGUUUAUCACUGUUAAUGAUAUUAUUGAAAUAAAUAUUCCAAUUAAG
Molecule: transfer RNA, 68 nt
Filed under: Entoria okinawaensis (Okinawa walking stick)
Lineage: Eukaryota; Metazoa; Arthropoda; Insecta; Phasmatodea; Phasmatidae
Description: tRNA-Asn
Source: RNAcentral